Vicia faba (fava bean) is the source of this 210-nucleotide non-coding RNA. The record is from the annotation of a GenBank genome assembly. Lineage: Eukaryota; Viridiplantae; Streptophyta; Magnoliopsida; Fabales; Fabaceae.
AUGUUGCAACAGGAGAUAAACAUGGAAAAUGUUGGUAACAUCGAUCCACUUAUUUCACAAGAUAGUGCACACCAAUUAACUCCUGGCAUGGAAGAAAGUUUCAACUCUUCGCUUAAUGGCCUGACACCACCGAAGGAAACAAUUGAAACACCUAAUGAUGAGACAACUGAUAGAAUAGAUACAGGUGAUAAUAUAGAGGCAUUGGCAUAA